ACUUAAAGAAAAGAUCUUGCAUUGGAGUUACCCAGCAGCUGGCAAUGAUUAUUCUACAGCGGUCUUUUGUCUUCGUGCUGCGUGCCAGGU
RNAcentral lists this long non-coding RNA (90 nucleotides) under Anas platyrhynchos platyrhynchos (common mallard). Its description in RNAcentral is "lncRNA (ENSAPLG00000030830.1)". The record is from RNAcentral. Lineage: Eukaryota; Metazoa; Chordata; Aves; Anseriformes; Anatidae.